GACAGAGGUGCCAAGCGUUAGGCGGAAUCACUGGGCUUAAAGCGUGUGUAGGCGGACCGUUAAGUACCUUGUGAAAUCCCACGGCUCAACCGUGGAACGGCUGGGUAUACUGGCGGUCUUGAGCCACCUAGGGGCGAGCGGAACAAGCGGUGGAGCGGUGAAAUGCGUAGAUAUCGCUUGGAACGCCAACGGUGAAAACAGCUCGCUGGGGGUGUGCUGACGCUGAGACACGAAAGCCAGGGGAGCGAACGGG
RNAcentral lists this ribosomal RNA (253 nucleotides) under uncultured bacterium. RNAcentral describes it as "partial 16S ribosomal RNA". It matches the Rfam family "Bacterial small subunit ribosomal RNA", at positions 524 to 776 of the family's 1533-position model. The record is from RNAcentral.